Molecule: ribosomal RNA, 245 nt
Filed under: Armillaria sp. 9T2
Lineage: Eukaryota; Fungi; Basidiomycota; Agaricomycetes; Agaricales; Physalacriaceae
Description: partial 26S ribosomal RNA
Rfam family: Eukaryotic large subunit ribosomal RNA
Source: RNAcentral
ACGAUGAUGUUGGUGUCGCGCAUUAGACUUGUGUUUAAAUAGAGCUUUGCUCGUGAACCAAAUAUGGUGGGCUGGGUUGUCUUUGCGGAAACGCUUGGGCGACUUGUCUACGAAUUGUAAUCAUAAUAUGGGCGGCGGUGAAUCCUUUGCAGACGACUUGAAUGGGAACGGGGUACCUGUAAGUGGUAGAGUAGCCUUGUUGCUACGAUCCACUGAGGUUAAGCCCUUGUUCUAAAGAUUUGUUC